Small nucleolar RNA from Cricetulus griseus (Chinese hamster), 84 nucleotides. The record is from Ensembl. NCBI's taxonomy places the organism in Eukaryota, Metazoa, Chordata, Mammalia, Rodentia, Cricetidae.
CCCCCCACUGAACCAGACCAGUAUUAUUCGCUGCUGCAGUCCAGUGGUGACUGUUGUGGAAUAUUAUUUUUACUACGAAAAGAU